This 345-nucleotide unclassified non-coding RNA is filed under the name soil metagenome. RNAcentral describes it as "partial contains 5.8S ribosomal RNA, internal transcribed spacer 2, and large subunit ribosomal RNA". The stretch from base 1 to 120 matches the Rfam family "5.8S ribosomal RNA", at positions 35 to 154 of the family's 154-position model. The record is from RNAcentral.
GAUGAAGAACGCAGCGAAAUGCGAUACGUAAUGUGAAUUGCAGAAUUCAGUGAAUCAUCGAGUCUUUGAACGCACAUUGCGCCCCCUGGUAUUCCGGGGGGCAUGCCUGUCCGAGCGUCAUUGCUGCCCUCAAGCACGGCUUGUGUGUUGGGCCUCCGUCCUCCUCCCGGGGGACGGGCCCGAAAGGCAGCGGCGGCACCGCGUCCGGUCCUCGAGCGUAUGGGGCUUCGUCACCCGCUCUUGUAGGCCCGGCCGACGCUUGCCGACACAUCAAUCUUUUUUCCAGGUUGACCUCGGAUCAGGUAGGGAUACCCGCUGAACUUAAGCAUAUCAAUAAGCGGAGGA